UAGUUGGUGGUAAUGCACCUUAAAGUUGGUUGCCUACUGCUAUAUAAAGUCUGAAGAAGCCAGAAAGAGGAGAGACUAUUUGAAACAAACGUUUACCUGUGGAUUAAAUGUCGGAGAAGAGGACCUCGUGCAUUUCAGGUAAAUGGUAAUAUGCUCUUAACUGCUCUGGUCACAGACUUUGCUGCCUUGUUUCCAAUCGUCCACAUGGCUGGGAGAACCUAUUCAAGUAAGUAAAUGCAUUUCAAAUGUAAACUAUAUUAGCUACAGUGCAGUCUAACUCAAAUGAGCCGCUAACGUUACUAGCUAGCUAUCUAGCCAACUUUACACUGGAAGGUUUGGUGAUCAGGGCCAUCUGGGACUGCCUCCUGAGGGUCUUCAGGUGUGUGUGACGGCUACCUGUGUCCUGCAUAACUUAAUGGACACGAGGACCAGGAGGGGAUCUGCAGCUUGCCGCUGUGUGCCAGAGGAGAGGUUUCAAGGAUGGGGGGGCAAACAACUCAGCACAGGAGGCAAUCCAUGUGUGGGAGAUCUUCACCUUAAAAGAGGGUGCUGUUCCCUGGCAACACCAGACUACACUAUGUACAACCAAAUGCUCUUAAGAGCCGUCCACAUUGCAAUAAGAGGAGUCUUCCAUUUACUUAGCUUUGUCAAAUGCAGUUAUUCAAUUCCAGGUUUCUUUCCUUUUGAUUUCUACUUCAGGUGAGGGUGCUGUUCAGGUGAGGGUGAUGUCUGUACAAAAACAAAACGGGCUCUAUUAAGAGUCGCCCAUAUUUAAUAAAAUAAAUACAAAUUAACUAGACACCCUAUAACCUACACACUUGUGUAUCAAUCUGUUGUGCAGGCUCAGGUGUAACUGUGGCUCCUUCCACCUUCAAAGAAUAUGCAAGAGAACCAACCAUGGAGAAUAGUAUGUUCUGAUGUGAGAGGAUAAACUGGGUGCCCGAGGCUGUUUGGAGACAUGGCUAGAGACACUUAUUCUCUCAGUUUAUCACAGUUACAUAUCAGGGUAAACCUGUAAUUCAUUAAUCAUAUGUCUUCCGUGCUCCUCUGUUCAUACCUAUUUUGUCUCUCACACCUCUCCCCAACUUUCUUUUCAUCUGUAUUUAUAAUGGCCACCAGAUGUGCAUUGAAGUACAGACUGAACAUUUUAUUUAGAAUAUAUUACAUCUAUAAUGCAUGUAUUUAUAACACUUGGAUAAUGAAUUUUCAGUAAAGGGUUUCACAUUCUCUACUGGUUGAAAUGAAGUCUCGUUUGAUGACAUUCUACACCUAUCCUGUGUCCUCAGAUCAAUGCACAAGUGUUUUGACAUUGAGAUGAACUGGUUUUAUAGUAGUUACAUGAUGCAAAGGAAGUGUAGCGUACUGUUUUAAAAAAUAUAUAUUAUUCUGUUUCUGUAUAUAUGAAUUACAAAUCAGCCUUUAACUACUUAACUCAUGUUUCUAGUCUAUUGCAUAGUUACAAUGUGUAACCAUUGAGGUCCCAGGACCCGGCUUGGUAAACAGUGGAAGUCUAUAAUUGUCAUACAUACACAGCAUCAUUCAAGAAUAGAGUUUGAUACUCCUGGUAUUGGAUAUGACUGAAAUGUCUCUGACAUUCAUACCUGAAUCGCACCUUUAUUUGCUAAUUUAGAGUACAUGAUCAGUGAAUAUAUUAAAUGUGAGGAUCUCAUGCUUGGUAAUAACUACAUGUAUAUAGGACUUGCAUCCUUGGCAAAACGUUAUUAUAUUCUACUCAAUCCAUAGGCUUCAUUCAGACUGUUUUGUAGUCAUUACAACAGGCUAUGAUAGCUGAGGUUCAUAGCCAGGUUCUGAACCAAUAUUUAUACCAAACAUUUUAGGGUCCAUACACAGAUCGGCUAAAGUUUCAUAGCUAGGUAUACAUCCAUGGGCAUACAGGUAUUUUUAUACUCCACAAGCAAGAAAAUAGCUAGAUUUCUAGCUACAUUACUUCAGCUGCAUUGCAUGGGAAAUGUCAAGGCAAGCUUAAACAAUUUUACAUUAAUUUGCAGUAAAUGCUUUUCUAGAUUCUUUACAUCCACUGUUUCACAAGACGAAAGGCUGGUUUUCUCAGGAGUCCCUAAAACCAUUAAACAACCAGAAUUACAAUGUCACAACAUCCAUAAAGCUAACGUUACCUAGCUGGUUAAUGUUAGCUAGUAGUCAGCUAGCUUGCUAAAUAGCGAUUUUCGUAAAUUAACUUUAUGACAUAUGCGUUUACCUACGUUAACUAAGAAUUUUUUUGCACGCCUCAUGACGUUAUUACGUCCAUCCUGGUAUUUCUAUUUGCUGAAGAACGUCACCAGCGAUUGGUCGCAGAGCGUCACAUUCGUCAUGGGAACCACUCGGUAUGAUUGGUCGUCGCCACUGGUGAUUUCCAUGAACUUGGGAAAUGCUUUUGACUCUUCACUCUCCCGCUCAACCAUUUUCAUAGCCUCCUCCUGCAAUAGAAUAUUUCCUAAAUGUAUCUUUGUACGUUUUUGUAUUAAAGACUCAGCGAUAUGACAUAGAUGCAAAGUAAACCGCAUAGUGGGUCAAUGUCCGCAACAACUAAUAGCGUUGAAGCGCGAGGUUAAACUUGUACGCUGUUUUGUUUCCCACGUUAAGAACCAGUGCACAUGCGCAGAUACUGUGUGAGAGCGAGGUCUUACAUCUCUCUGCCUUGUCCCUAAUGUCAGCUUCACAGUAUCUCUGCCACAGUACUCUUCCCUACCGCUGGAGGGCCCAGGAGACAGACUGAUUGGAAAACAAACAGCACAAUAUCUCAAUAUUCUAUGUCUGGCUUGAAAAUGGGUAUAAGGCAAUAAUACCAUGGUACACUCAGCAUUGCUGUGUACUUGCUACAGCCCUGUACUCCUAUAAUACAUAAUUGUAAACUGAUGCUGACAGCUUUUCUUGUUAAUACCACAGCUGGACCACUCUCCUCCACCACCCGGUUGAUUUAUCAACAAUUCCAGCCUCGAACACCCAGUGGAGAAGGAAGGUAUCCUUCAGAAGACUGGUUAUUGACACUACAGUAAUUCACAUCUGUGUGCAAUUAUUUUUUUUUUUAAAUGGGUCAAACUGAUGCUCCAAUUUAGACCAGUCCCAGAUUGCUGAAUUAAAUCUACACAUCUAUUUAAAAGAAAGAAAUGCAACAAUUUUAGAAAUACACUUAAUGAUCAUAAAUAUGUCUGGCUUAGCUUUUUAAUAAAACAAAAUUUUAGUCAUUUAGCAGACACUCUUAUCAAGAGUGACUUACAGUUGUGAAUGCAUACAUUCACCCACCAAAAAAUUCAUACUGGUCCCCAUUGGGAAUCAAACCCACAACCUUGUGCGAAGGCAGGUGCCGUGCUCUACCAGCUGAGCCACAUGGGACAAUAUCCUCCAGCGUACUUGGAAUCAUCUACAGCGAUGAAACUGUGUGUAUUUUGGCUUGUGGUUGAUAACAUUCUGGAUAACCCUUGUAGACUAAAGUAAACAGUAUUUGUAGGAAUACUAUUUUUUUUCACCCAAACUCUGGCAGAUAUCUUUGAAUAAGCAGUAAAUGAACAUCUCCAUAAUGGAAUGGACCCAUAGAAAAACAGGAACUCUGCAAGGUCGCUGACAUAAAUGGUACGGAAAAUAUUUAUGCCAGGCCCAAAAACACGAACUCUUGCAAACUCCAAGCCAACACACCCUGGUGAGUCGAGCCAGAAAAAAAAGUGAUAAAACAUCCAUCGAAGCCUUGAUAGUCUAAUAAAGAAGUAGUCCAGAAGGUUCUCCCAUUCUAUAUUGGACACCCGCCACCACAUCAUAAAUGGAGAGCUUGGACUUUUCCUGAAUGGUAAAUAAAAAGUUGUUUUUGUCUGGAAUGGGGUUUUAACCAAUCAGCAUUCAGAAUUAGACCCACCCGUUGUAUAAAUACUCACUAAAUAGCAUUCUAAUUCAAAACGGGGAAUUCUCCCCUCGCUGUUAGAGAUAGUUCCAGCAAUUUGGAAAGUCCCAUCUUGCAGUGUAGGCUCAGCCGCAGGAGGACCAUCCUCAUUUGACAGAAUAUACACGCAGUCACAAAAAAAGAAACAUUUAGAUGAAUACGUAUCAAUAGUUGGAUAACUUUCUUUCUUUUCGUCCACCAUGUCUCCUGUUGCUGUGGAAACGCGUUGAGGUUGCUGACAUCGCCUCAGCCAAUGAAAUAAGUUCAUUUGCAAAAGGGAGCACUGUAUCUUGCUCAGAUAAAUGAUAAAAUAGACAUAAAAAAAAUACAUUAUAUGGGUUCAAUGCAUAUUUCAUAUUAUAUCAAAUGCAAUGCAGAAAUGUUUUUUUUUUUUUUUUACACGGUAUUUGGUGAAGUUUUGGGCAGAAGAUGGCUCUGUUCUCCAGUUUGUGUAAAAAUAUAAUGAAAUAAAUGCUAUUUUUGUCCGUCA
Molecule: non-coding RNA, 4382 nt
Organism: Salmo salar (Atlantic salmon)
Lineage: Eukaryota; Metazoa; Chordata; Actinopteri; Salmoniformes; Salmonidae
Source: RefSeq, a predicted model, not a curated record